GGGCCCGUGGUCUAGACGGUUAUGACGCUGCCCUUACAAGGCAGAGGUCCUGAGUUCAAAUCUCAGCGGGCCCA
Molecule: transfer RNA, 74 nt
Filed under: Candidatus Altarchaeales archaeon ex4484_96
Lineage: Archaea; Nanobdellati; Candidatus Altarchaeota; Candidatus Altarchaeia; Candidatus Altarchaeales
Also listed under: 1 other name
Description: Candidatus Altiarchaeales archaeon ex4484_96 tRNA-Val
Rfam family: tRNA
About the family: Transfer RNA (tRNA) molecules are approximately 80 nucleotides in length. Their secondary structure includes four short double-helical elements and three loops (D, anti-codon, and T loops). Further hydrogen bonds mediate the characteristic L-shaped molecular structure. tRNAs have two regions of fundamental functional importance: the anti-codon, which is responsible for specific mRNA codon recognition, and the 3' end, to which the tRNAs corresponding amino acid is attached (by aminoacyl-tRNA synthetases). tRNAs cope with the degeneracy of the genetic code in two manners: having more than one tRNA (with a specific anti-codon) for a particular amino acid; and 'wobble' base-pairing, i.e. permitting non-standard base-pairing at the 3rd anti-codon position.
Source: RNAcentral